This 450-nucleotide long non-coding RNA is filed under the name Monodelphis domestica (gray short-tailed opossum). RNAcentral's name for it is "lncRNA (ENSMODG00000041258.1)". The record is from RNAcentral. Lineage: Eukaryota; Metazoa; Chordata; Mammalia; Didelphimorphia; Didelphidae.
AGAAGGUUUCAGUUGCUAAUUCCUUACUGGCUGAAGAAAAGGUGAUUCCCAUUAUAAGACAGCUUAACUGCCCAUUGGCACCAUCUUCAAUGUGAGAGAGAUGAACCCAAGUUUGUUGCUCUCUCUGGUGUGAGAACAAAGAGCAGCAAACAAAAAUACAGGUUUUGCCACUGAUUAGUUGUUGAAUUGGCCAGCUGACAGCUAAGUGGAAAUUGCAAAAUCCUGGUCAUUCCUUAUAAUUCAGAGGAACUUGGUAUUUUCAGACAUGUGCCUUGGAAUUUAAUAGAACAGAUUUCAAAGAAACCAGAGAAAAUUUGUGUGGAAACACAACUAGAGACUCUAGAAAAAAAGAUGGCUCCAAGAAGUUGGUAUGAAACAAAACUAAUUAAGAACUUUCUACCUCCUCUUUGUAUAUAGUGAAUUCUUACCUGCUGUGCUGAAAUAAACAGU